Molecule: non-coding RNA, 1347 nt
Organism: Malus domestica (apple)
Lineage: Eukaryota; Viridiplantae; Streptophyta; Magnoliopsida; Rosales; Rosaceae
Source: RefSeq, a predicted model, not a curated record
AAAAGAGCAAGCCUUAUCUAUUAGCUAGGUGUAGCUGCCUUAUUUGUUCUUCUCUAUCAAGUCGACAACUCCUCCUCUCCAAUUGCUGACUAUUCCUUUAUAUAUAUGUAUCUGAUGCGUAAUCAUCAAGGAUUGUAUAAGUAUAAAUAGGGACCUCAAGAGCUGCAAACUCUAGUAAGAAACGAGUCUAGUGAGAGAUGAAUAAAGAGAAGAGGGAAAAGGUACUUUGGGUCGGAGAAAGUGAGCGAGUGAGAGAGGGGAUGAGAAAAGAAAUUAAGAUGAAGGUUGAAUUGGAUGUCUGCGGAGAUGGCAAACAAAUUAAGGUAUAAGAGAAGAGAGCUGCUGUGUUGAUGAUGGUCAGUCGGCUUUGAAAGAAUCAAAUAAAGGAGCAAGGUCGAUUACGGUGGACUAAUGUCCUUCUGCCAGUAUGAGGAGAACACAGACACAGAGGGGAGUUGCUGAAGGUAGACUCUUGUAGUAAAGAGUCGGAGCAGUGCUUUGGAAUCUAGGUAGGGGAAAUACGGCAGACCUUUACGGAGAUUGGUUUUAUUAAAUUUUGUGAAGCAUUAUACUAUUAUUAUCGAUCUUGUUGGUUGAUUAAUGUGAUAUGGGUUGCUAAUUGGAUAAAUACUGGUCUUGCGUGUUUUCUUGUUAUUGGUUAUGGAAUUAUUGGUGAAAUGCUAUUGGUUGAGAAUAUACUAUGGUAUAUGUGAAUGAUAUAUGAAAGUAUUUGUGAAUCAUUCAUAAUUGGUCAUGUGGUUGGAGUUUUCAGUGGUGAGAAGGAAUUGGAAAUGGAGGUAGUUGGAAAUGAUCUUUUGUGUAGUUGAGCCAAACUCUUAGCACGUACCAGGUCUCAAGCGAGCUCACAGUGCACAAAUUCUUUAAGGGUAAUUCGGGACUAGCUACGAAGGGUUUUGGCAAGAUGACUAACAAAAGGACAAAUUGGGAUGAUUGAGUUACAGGGGGUUAAUUUGUAUAUUAAAACAUUCGAACCACCACUGCAGAGGUAAAAUGCAUGGUAUGGGAUGUGCAGGUCCGCGUGUUUUAUUAUAUGAAGUAACGGGCAGAGAUGAAGAGUAUUGCAUUGCACUCAUACAUUGUUAUCGAUGAUGAUUUGAUACUGAUUAUAAGAUGUCAUGAUACUUAAUAUUGUCAAUCUACUAUGGUAAGGUUAUGUCCCUACUGAGCUGUUGAAGCUCACCAUCUAUUGUUAUGCAGGUUUACUAACUAAACUAUCAAAAGGGUAGACGGGAUGAGACGAAAUAGAUGUGAGGCUAGAAUUUGUAUUUAUUUAUUUAGCCUUGUAAAGAAUUAUGGAUUUCUUUUUAUAAGAGGAAAUUUAUUUUU